RNAcentral lists this transfer RNA (74 nucleotides) under Candidatus Altarchaeales archaeon ex4484_2. RNAcentral describes it as "Candidatus Altiarchaeales archaeon ex4484_2 tRNA-Cys". It matches the Rfam family "tRNA". Rfam says of the family: Transfer RNA (tRNA) molecules are approximately 80 nucleotides in length. Lineage: Archaea; Nanobdellati; Candidatus Altarchaeota; Candidatus Altarchaeia; Candidatus Altarchaeales. The record is from RNAcentral. RNAcentral also lists the same sequence under 2 other names.
GCAGGGGUGGCUAAGCCCGGUAAGGCGGUCGGCUGCAGACCGACAAUUCGGGGGUUCAAAUCCCUCCCCCUGCU